Molecule: long non-coding RNA, 415 nt
Organism: Etheostoma cragini (Arkansas darter)
Lineage: Eukaryota; Metazoa; Chordata; Actinopteri; Perciformes; Percidae
Exons: 3
Source: RefSeq, a predicted model, not a curated record
UUCAAGUACAAAUAUAAGCACUAAUGAAUUAUUGUAAGAAUAACAGGGUAAGCCAAUCAGAGGCACAGUAGGGCGGGUCAUGCCAUCACCGACCUAGGAAAAGAAACAUGGCCUGGGGGCAGGAGUGCCGGCAGUCUGUCGGGGUUCUGGAGGAGGCCACUGCAUAGAGGACUGCGCCCCCUGCAGGUGUGGAGAGUGACUGUCUCGAGUCCAUACAUUCCGAUGCUUACGUACAUUUCUUUGCUUAUUGUUGAUUCAGUUAAAAAUCACCCUGCUUCAUUUGAUUCUCUGACACUUUUUUCCCAUCUCCCGUGUCGAGAGCUACUGCUUGUUGUCUGUCGACGGCCCUGCUUCCUCAGCAUACACAGAGAAAAAAACGAUAUCCGAUUUUUUCUGAAUGGAUAUGAAACACUGA